UACGUAGGGGGCUAGCGUUGUCCGGAAUCAUUGGGCGUAAAGCGCGUGUAGGCGGUUCGGUAAGUCCGCUGUGAAAGUCGGGGGCUCAACCUCGGAAUGCCGGUGGAUACUGUCGGGCUUGAGUACGGAAGAGGCGAGUUGGAAUUCCUGGUGGUAGCGGGUGAAAUGCGCAGAUAUCAGGAGGAACACCAAUGCGAAGCAGCUCGCUGGGACGUUACUGACGCUGAGACGCGAAGCGUGGGGAGCAAACAG
Molecule: ribosomal RNA, 252 nt
Filed under: uncultured bacterium
Lineage: Bacteria
Description: partial 16S ribosomal RNA
Rfam family: Bacterial small subunit ribosomal RNA
Source: RNAcentral